Actinia tenebrosa (Australian red waratah sea anemone) is the source of this 231-nucleotide long non-coding RNA. Lineage: Eukaryota; Metazoa; Cnidaria; Anthozoa; Actiniaria; Actiniidae. The record is from RefSeq and is a predicted model, not a curated record.
AAUGAUAAGUGAUCCAAGACUUUAUAGCUUACACAAUUCCAAUUUUGAUUAACAGGAGCAAUGAGAGUGCAUUUCAAAACAAAAAAGCAGCAAAGUUAAAACAAAGAACAAAAGAAAGACUCGCAAGUGCUGAAAGAGCAAAGAAAGCGUUCGCGACUGAACUCGAAAAAGGCCAAUCGUAUCAAAGCGCUCAACCAGUCUACGUCCAUAGCUGAGGAUGACAAAAAAAAA